GUCCUGUUACACUUGGCUGUGACCAAUGACAAGCAAAUUAGUAUGAUUCAUGUAAAAGAAUGAAGCAAAGGGAAAGAAAAGAAAAUCAGUAUUUAUGCCAGUAAUUUUAUGUGCUUUUGCAGUGCACCCAGAUGCAUAUGUGCAUGCAUGUGCUCACACACACAUCUAGUGAAAACAAACGCACCCUUCCUGCAAUUCCACUUGAAAU
RNAcentral lists this unclassified non-coding RNA (208 nucleotides) under Hevea brasiliensis (rubber tree). Lineage: Eukaryota; Viridiplantae; Streptophyta; Magnoliopsida; Malpighiales; Euphorbiaceae. The record is from RNAcentral.